GACGAACGCUGGCGGCGUGCUUAACACAUGCAAGUCGAACGGCAAGGCCCUGCUUUUGUUGGGUGCUCGAGUGGCGAACGGGUGAGUAACACGUGAGUAACCUGCCCUUUACUUUGGGAUAACUUCAGGAAACUGGUGCUAAUACCGGAUAGGAGCUCCUGCUGCAUGGUGGGGGUUGGAAAGUUUCGGCGGUUGGGGAUGGACUCGCGGCUUAUCAGCUUGUUGGUGGGGUAGUGGCUUACCAAGGCUUUGACGGUUAGCCGGCCUGAGAGGGUGACCGGCGACAAGGGGACUGAGAUACGGCGCAGACGCCUACGGGAGGCAGCAGUGGGGAAUAUUGCACAAUGGGCGGAAGUCUGAGGCAGCAACGCCGCGUGCGGGAAGAAGGCCUUCGGGGUGUAAACAGCUUUCGCCUGUGACGAAGCGUGAGUGACGGUAAUGGGUAAAGAAGCACCGGCUAACUACGUG
This 468-nucleotide ribosomal RNA is filed under the name uncultured bacterium. RNAcentral's name for it is "partial 16S ribosomal RNA". It matches the Rfam family "Bacterial small subunit ribosomal RNA", at positions 28 to 507 of the family's 1533-position model. The record is from RNAcentral.